CCAACUGGGAUUGCCUCAGUAACGGUGAGUGAAGCGGCAAGAGCUCAAAUUUGAAAUCUGGCUUCGGCCCGAGUUGUAAUUUGUAGAGGUGUCUUUGGCGUACACGUCGGCCUGUAUUCCUUGGAAUAGGAUGGCACAGAGGGUGAGAUCCCCAUCUACGGCCAGCAGUCGUCGCCAUGUAUAGACCCUUCGACGAGUCGAGUUGUUUGGGAAUGCAGCUCAAAAUGGGUGGUAAAUUUCAUCUAAAGCUAAAUAUUGGCGAGAGACCGAUAGCGCACAAGUAGAGUGAUCGAAAGAUGAAAAGCACUUUGAAAAGAGAGUCAAACAGUACGUGAAAUUGUUGAAAGGGAAGCGCUU
This 357-nucleotide ribosomal RNA is filed under the name uncultured fungus. RNAcentral describes it as "LSU rRNA". It matches the Rfam family "Eukaryotic large subunit ribosomal RNA", at positions 65 to 424 of the family's 3401-position model. Lineage: Eukaryota; Fungi. The record is from RNAcentral.